RNAcentral lists this long non-coding RNA (3344 nucleotides) under Homo sapiens (human). Its description in RNAcentral is "hydatidiform mole associated and imprinted (HYMAI)". The record is from RNAcentral. Lineage: Eukaryota; Metazoa; Chordata; Mammalia; Primates; Hominidae.
CUCACUCUCCGGGCGGGUGCUGGACGGACGGACGGACGGGGCAGCCGUGCUCACAGCUCAGCAGCGCGGGGCCUUGGCGCGCGGGGCGCUUCCCCGGGUCGCCGUCAUGGCCGCGGAGGUGGCACGCCCGAGCGGCCUCGCCUGAGCUCCGGGGGUCGUCGCCCCGCAGGGUAGGUGUUUGGGUGCUCGCGGCUGCGGCGGGCGGGCUGGGGGCAGCGGUGGCCGUGCAUUGCCGCGCUGCGAGGACGGCGCUGGGUUCGCGGCCGCGAGGAGGGUGUGCCUUUGCCGCGCCGCCUACGUGCGGGUCCGGGCUCCGCGGGGCCGGGUGCGGGACCCCGCAGAUCGUCACCCGCAACCCAGGCAGCCCCACCGCGAGUGCCGCCGGACCCCCUGGACGCCGCUGCCAGAGGCGUUCGCGCCUAUCUGGUAUGAGGUCCACAGACCCGAUUCUUACAACCUGGCGCUCUAACCUCGCCAACGGGCCAGGAAAAAAACAGAACAAGGAAAAGAAGAAAAAGUCUGUUCCAAGUAAUAAUGGGACUAGACAGUAACUGUUUGCACUUUCGUCUCUUAUGGAAAAUAUGAUUAUUUUGAUGCUUUAGUAUUACAGACUGUAUCAGACAUACUCUUAAAAGUAUUUAAAAACGUGGGGUCCUAAAAAUUUCCUAGAUCGGGACAGCUGAUAAUGCGACUUCUGUUAGUCUCCGCAUCCAACUUUCAGGGCGGAAUGGGGAUUUCUACCUUUUACUGAAUAUACUCCUGUAAUUUUGAAUAUUUUUUCUCAUCAAAUGUGUUACUUUCAUGUUUUAGGAAACCAAUAAAAAUCAAAAAUAGAAACACCCAGCUUAGGUCCUCCUUCUUCCAGGAAUCCUCCUCUAACCCCUCCCUCCCAGGCAGGAUCGGAGGCCCCUCCCGGGUGCUUUCUGGGGCCUCACUGAGGUCCUGGUCCCCUAAGUCCUCCCCCGCAGCCCCUCCGCGUAUUAACCCACCGGUCUCGCUGGGCUCAGAGAUUGCUUACUUAGCACAUGGUAAGUGAUUAAUACUGUUUAAUGACCGAGGGAAAAGAUAAAAUGUUCUCUGAUGUUUCACGCUUUUCGCUCUGAAGUUAAAUAGUGGUAAAUUUAUAUGCGCUUAGAUAAGAACAUUUAACAGUUAAGGAUCUGGAAAAGUUGACGACGUCCGAUGUCCGUGUUUCCUGAUCCAGCAGUUGCACGCCUGGGUAUUCAUCCUUAAGAACAAUGUUUUUCAGAAUUUGAAGUCCAUUUUAGUGGGUCGUAAAGUCAUUUAAAUGGAUGAUCAGAAUUUGUAAAACACAGACGGAGAAUAGAACAUCAGUGUCUCUCAGGUCAUAGGGGUGUUCGCUUUAUGAAUCUCUCUCCCCCUCCUCAGUUUCAUACAUACACAAAUGUGUGUCAUGAUGUAAAACGUCAUUCCUUAGUAUGAGUCAUGGACAAAAAAGUUUGAAAGCCACUGCCCUAGAUAAAUUUUAAUACAUGUCCACAAGCAGACGUGUACAAGAAGGUUGACUGUAAUGGCAGAAAACUGGAUGCCGCCUUCAUGCCUACCUGAAGGAGAAAGAUAAAUUAUACACCACUCAUAAAAAGGGCACACUGUACAGUGGCCAAUGAAGUAUUUUUGUGUUUCAACACAAAUGCCUUUCAGUGUUGAACCAAAAAAAAAAAAAGUUGCCGGAGAAUGCUGUGUGAUAUCUUCUAUGUAAAAUUCAGAACCUGGUGGAGCAAAGCUGUUGUUUAGGGAUGCAUGUAUAGGCAUUAAAAGUAGUAAAGAAAAAAAGUCAAGCUAAUGGUCAUCUCCUAGUGGGGAGGAGAGGGUCAGGGGCUCAGAGAUGCUGGAAAUGCUUUAUCGCCUGACCUGUGCAAUGGUUACAUGGGUGUUUGCUUUGUAACUCUUUGUUAAAUGAUACACACUGGGUUUGAAUGUUACAUUUCCCCCCAAAUAUGUUAAAAUAUGGGUGUUGCAAACUGAAGAAGCCUGAGUCUAGGGCUCUCCGUCUGUUAUUCUUAUUUCCUGGCUUCUUUUUAGAAAAAAAAAAUCUUGCUCAGGGAGGAGUACCUAGGGAAUUUAUCAGUAAUGUUUUAUUUCAUAAAUUCCAUGGUGGACAUACCAGUAUUCAUUAAAUUAUUCUUUAUGUAUUCUUAUAACUUAAUUUAUAAUAUUUCAAAAAGCAUUUAGGAGAAAACAUCAUUUGGUGUGUUUGCUUUCCCAAAAGUCACAUUUACAUGUUUUGUACACAACUGGAAUAUUUUAUAUAGUAAUUUUAGCUAAAAUCAAAUUUUGUUAUGAAAAACGAAAUACUAAAAAGUAUAUAAAAAUCACAGAACUUUACAGACUUUCAGCGUUUUAAAAUGCUAACAUAUUGUAUUUACCUCAAUAAUUUCUGUUCCUCAGUUCUUUCAGGCCACAUUUUUAGUGCUCAAUAGCCUCAUAUGACUUUAAUAUUUUAUUAUAUUUUAUUAUGUUAUAUAUUUUACAUUAUACAUUAUAGAACAGAAUAUUUCCAUCAUUGCAGAAAUUUAUAUUGGAAAACAUUCUGGAUACAAAUAUUUGUUAUAUACUUGCAGAUAUUAAACUGUAGACAUUAAUCCUUAUGCUUUUUGUCUUAAGAUACUCUACUAUUAAUGAAAUGUAUUCUGAAUAUUUUUCUAAGAAUUUUUAAGUUUAUGUUUUGUCCACAUUUUGUUCUUUAAUUUACCUGAGACAUGUAUAUAUUGAGAUGUAUAUAUUUUAUGUUAUGAGAUCAAGCUUAAUUAAUUUUCAGAUUCCCACAUGAAAAGGUAAUUGUCCCAAUAUCAGUGAUUAGCAGUGCCACUUCUGUCACAUACAGUACCCAGAUAUGUUUGGGCUUAUUUCCAGGCUGUUAAUCCUGGUUUAUUUGUCAUUUGAAAAUACUGCAGAUUUUCAUUUACUGCUGCUUUCUAUGUAGUAUAUUGUUCAGUUCUAAGAAUUUAAGAUUUUUUCAUUGUGAUAUUUUUUCUUCCCCUAAGAGAUUUGUAGAAAGUAGUCUAGUUCCAAUGUGGAAGGUUUUGUGAGUUAUCCUUUUGUUACUGAUUUCUAAUUUGCACUGUAGUUAGCAUACGUGUCAAGGCCAACAAUUCUUUGAAAUUCGAGAAUUGCUUUAUGGUUUUAACUGCUCCUUGUAUCAUCAAGAAUAAUUUGUACUCACAGACUUUUGAGGCAAUGUAUGUAGGUGUGUGUAUAUAUAUAAUAUAUACACAUACACUUUAUAUAUAGAUUAUAUAUAAUCUCUCUGUAGAGUUUAUAUAAAAAUUAAAUAUAUUUAUAUAAAUGUAUAUAUAUAUAUGAAUAAAAUCUCCUGUCUCUAA